CUCCGUAAUUGCAGGGGGUGAUAAAUCGAAUACAAUUUUACUUGAAAUGCCACCCCAUACAGAACCAAUCAGUCGAUAUAAUCGAGAACUAGCAUAAUAAAUCACGUGAUAUGAAUCAGACAGAGGGGGUGGGGCGCUCAACGUUUCAUAUCGUAAUUUCCGAUUAGGCAAAAAUAAUCAACCACGGCUGUAAUUACACCCCGUAUAAAUUGGUGGCGGUAAUGACAAAUUGUAUUGUACUGUAACUAAAACUAGAAGAAAAUCUUCUGACGUCCUUUCCCGUCGUCAAAGAUGCCAUCUUUUAGAAGGAAAAAGAGCCACGCUGGUUUACAGAGACCUGACUAGAGGCGUGAUAGAGUGUACACCCCUGCCAUCAACUUGGAUCGGUGAGAAAGUUGCUCAGUUCAGAGAAAUGACCAUUGACGAGGCCAUUGCACAGCUUCAGUUCAACGACCAAAAGGGGGCAAAGAAAAUAAAAGAGGGUUCUCUUGCAGGCCCAGGAGAUGGCAGUCCGUAAUCACAAAGUGGAAUACAAGUCCAAUAUAUAUGUUGGUAAGUGUCAACUGUUGUAUAUCUUCUUGAAAUCUUACACAUACACGUAACCUCUUGUUAGAAUCAUCUCUAAAAGGUAUGACAGAAAUUGCCCACGUGUGCCCUAAAUAGCAUGAUUGAAUUUCUGAUGUAAAUUGUUUUAACAAAAGGUAAUAAAAAGUGAUGGUGAUGAUCAUCAAAGGGUGUAUAGUGCAUUUUA
Molecule: RNA transcript, 751 nt
Organism: Coregonus clupeaformis (lake whitefish)
Lineage: Eukaryota; Metazoa; Chordata; Actinopteri; Salmoniformes; Salmonidae
Gene name: 39S ribosomal protein L22, mitochondrial-like
Exons: 4
Source: RefSeq, a predicted model, not a curated record